UACGGAGGGAGCUAGCGUUAUUCGGAAUUACUGGGCGUAAAGCGCGCGUAGACGGCCACUUAAGUCGGAUGUGAAAGCCCCUGGCUCAACUGGGGAAGUGCACCCGAAACUGAAUGGCUUGAAUGCAAAAGAGGGUCGCGGAAUUCCCGGUGUAGAGGUGAAACUCGUAGAUAUCGGGAGGAACACCGGUGGCGAAGGCGGCGACCUGGGUUGACACUGACGCUGAGGCGCGAAAGCGUGGGGAGCAAACAGG
Molecule: ribosomal RNA, 253 nt
Filed under: uncultured bacterium
Lineage: Bacteria
Description: partial 16S ribosomal RNA
Rfam family: Bacterial small subunit ribosomal RNA
Source: RNAcentral